Molecule: long non-coding RNA, 1039 nt
Organism: Lagenorhynchus albirostris (white-beaked dolphin)
Lineage: Eukaryota; Metazoa; Chordata; Mammalia; Artiodactyla; Delphinidae
Exons: 2
Source: RefSeq, a predicted model, not a curated record
ACAGGCCUGCUCAGGAGGCCCUCAGAAGUGCCAGUUAUCUAUUUGAGGUAACUUCAUAAUUCCAUCUUCCCAAAACUUUUUUAUCUUUUUGAGCAAAGAACUGUUCCAGGUGCCUUUUACAGUCUUCCAGGGAAUCAAAAUUUUUUCCAUUAGGAGAAUUUUCUGAAGACCGAAAUAAAUGGAAAUCCGUAGGUGCAAUGUCUAGUGACUAUGGCGGAUGCAUCAGGACUUCCCAGCCAAGCUGUAACAGUUUUUGCCUGGUCAUCAAAGAAACAUGCGGCCUUGCAUUAUCCUGAUGGAAGAUUAUGGGUUUUCUGUUGACUAAUUCCGGACGCUUUUCGUAGAGUGCUGCUUUCGGUUGGUGUAAUUGGGAGCAGUACUUGUUGGAUUGAGUCGUUUAGUUUUGCGGAAGGAGCUCAUAGUAGAGGACUCCCUUCCAAUCCCACCAUAUACAGAACAUCACCUUCUUUGGAUGAAGACCGGCCUUUGGUGUGGUUGGUGGUGGUUCAUUUCGCUUGCCCCACGAUCUCUUCCGUUCUACAUUAUUGCACAGUAUCCACUUUUCAUCGCCCAUCACAAUUUGUUUUAAAAACGGAACGUUUUCGUUACGUUAUCGCAUGCGGCAAGAUGGUCAAGAAGGUUUUUUCCGCUUAAUUUAUGUGGAACCCAAACAUCAAAGCGAUGAACAUAACCAAGCUGGUGCAGAUGAUUUUCAGCGCUUGAUUUGGAUAUUUUGAGUAUGUCAGCCGUCUCCCGCGUGGUAUAAUGUUGAUUGUUCUGUGUUUCGAUUUGAUCGCUGUCAACUUCAACUGGUCUACCCGACCAUGGAGCAUCGUCCAGCGAGAAAUCUCCAGCACGAAACUUCACAGACCACUUUUGACACGUUCCAUCAAUCAUGGCACCUUCUCCAUACACUGCACAAAUCUUGUUUUUUGAGUUUCAGUUGCGUUUUUACCUUUCUUGAAAUAAUAAAGCAUAAUAUGCCGAAAAUGUUGCUUUUUUCCCUUCCAUCUUCAGUAUUAAAAUCGCUACACAAAAA